UGUCAUCCUGAGCGCAGGGUUCAAGUGU
RNAcentral lists this non-coding RNA (28 nucleotides) under Mus musculus (house mouse). The record is from RNAcentral. Lineage: Eukaryota; Metazoa; Chordata; Mammalia; Rodentia; Muridae.